Molecule: long non-coding RNA, 276 nt
Filed under: Lathyrus oleraceus (garden pea)
Lineage: Eukaryota; Viridiplantae; Streptophyta; Magnoliopsida; Fabales; Fabaceae
Description: Pisum sativum (pea) long non-coding RNA (PSAT_LNC001680)
Source: RNAcentral
GACAAAAUAAAUGUCAAUCAUCCUAUCAGAGAAUGUCACAACAAAUGUCAUAACAUAUAAAAUGUUAAAACAUAAUUGUUAGGAGAUUCAAACCAUCAUUAUACACAACUGUGGCAGCUGAGAUAAUGAGAAAUCCAUGGAACUCAUUAAGAGCCCAAAUAUUAGAUGAAGGCAUCAGUAAGGACUGCCACAAAUUUCACAUAUUAAAACUGAAAAAAAAACAAAUUCCUCAGCAUCAAAACAUCAGUGGAACCAGUCUUCACAACAGCACACACA